This 251-nucleotide unclassified non-coding RNA is filed under the name Hevea brasiliensis (rubber tree). The record is from RNAcentral. Lineage: Eukaryota; Viridiplantae; Streptophyta; Magnoliopsida; Malpighiales; Euphorbiaceae.
CAAUAUCUGCAGAUGAAUCAACUAGUCCUGGUCGACGGUGCAUACAUUGCUAUAGGAGAAGCUUAAUCAUAGAUGAUGCAGGAUGACUGAAAUGGCAAAGCAUCAAUGCUCAUAGCAUCUGCUGCUCCCCAUCACUAGCUAUUGCUUUUGAUUCUUGAGAUUUGUUGCAGCUGUUGGUAGACUGUGAAAGAGUUCUUUAUCAUUUGUUGGCAGUAAAGUAAAUUUCACAGUCUACCAACAGCUGCAACAAA